This 80-nucleotide transfer RNA is filed under the name human gut metagenome. It matches the Rfam family "tRNA". Rfam says of the family: Transfer RNA (tRNA) molecules are approximately 80 nucleotides in length. Their secondary structure includes four short double-helical elements and three loops (D, anti-codon, and T loops). The record is from RNAcentral.
CAGAUAUGGCGGAAUUGGUAGACGCGUUAGACUCAAAAUCUAAUGCCUUCUAGGCAUGUGGGUUCGAUUCCCACUAUCUG